AGUGAACGCUGGCGGUAGGCCUAACACAUGCAAGUCGAACGGCAGCACAGUAAGAGCUUGCUCUUACGGGUGGCGAGUGGCGGACGGGUGAGGAAUACAUCGGAAUCUACUUUUUCGUGGGGGAUAACGUAGGGAAACUUACGCUAAUACCGCAUACGACCUACGGGUGAAAGCAGGGGAUCUUCGGACCUUGCGCGAUUGAAUGAGCCGAUGUCGGAUUAGCUAGUUGGCGGGGUAAAGGCCCACCAAGGCGACGAUCCGUAGCUGGUCUGAGAGGAUGAUCCGCCCCACUGGAACUGAGACACGGUCCAGACCCCUACGGGAGGCAGCAGGGGGGAAUUUUGGACAAUGGGCGCAAGCCUGAUCCAGCCAUACCGCGGGGGUGAAGAAGGCCUUCGGGUUGUAAAGCCCUUUUGUUGGGAAAAAAAAGCAGCAGGUUAAUACCCCGCUGUUCUGACGGUACCCAAAAAAUAAGCACCGGCUAACUUCGU
This 491-nucleotide ribosomal RNA is filed under the name uncultured bacterium. RNAcentral's name for it is "partial 16S ribosomal RNA". It matches the Rfam family "Bacterial small subunit ribosomal RNA", at positions 29 to 506 of the family's 1533-position model. The record is from RNAcentral.